UACUCCUUACCACGUGUAGCGGUGAAAUGUGUAGAGAUGUGGACCAACACCAGUGGAGAAGGAGUCUCUGGUGUCUGUAAGUGACGCUGAGGAGAGAAAGUGUGGAGAGCGAACAGGAUUAGAUACCGUGGUAGUCCACGCUGUAAACGAUGAGUGCUAAGUGUUAGGGGGUUUCCGCCCCUUAGUGCUGCAGCUAACGCAUUAAGCACUCCGCCUGGGGAGUACGGUCGCAAGACUGAAACUCAAAGGAAUUGACGGGGGCCCGCACAAGCGGUGGAGCAUGUGGUUUAAUUCGAAGCAACGCGAAGAACCUUACCAGGUCUUGACAUCCUCUGACAAUCCUAGAGAUAGGACGUCCCCUUCGGGGGCAGAGUGACAGGUGGUGCAUGGUUGUCGUCAGCUCGUGUCGUGAGAUGUUGGGUUAAGUCCCGCAACGAGCGCAACCCUUGAUCUUAGUUGCCAGCAUUCAGUUGGGCACUCUAAGGUGACUGCCGGUGACAAACCGGAGGAAGGUGGGGAUGACGUCAAAUCAUCAUGCCCCUUAUGACCUGGGCUACACACGUGCUACAAUGGACAGAACAAAGGGCAGCGAAACCGCGAGGUUAAGCCAAUCCCACAAAUCUGUUCUCAGUUCGGAUCGCAGUCUGCAA
Molecule: ribosomal RNA, 650 nt
Filed under: Bacillus amyloliquefaciens
Lineage: Bacteria; Bacillati; Bacillota; Bacilli; Caryophanales; Bacillaceae
Description: bacterial SSU rRNA
Rfam family: Bacterial small subunit ribosomal RNA
Source: RNAcentral